RNAcentral lists this ribosomal RNA (252 nucleotides) under uncultured bacterium. RNAcentral's name for it is "partial 16S ribosomal RNA". It matches the Rfam family "Bacterial small subunit ribosomal RNA", at positions 524 to 774 of the family's 1533-position model. The record is from RNAcentral.
UACGGAGGGGGCUAGCGUUGUUCGGAAUUACUGGGCGUAAAGCGCACGUAGGCGGCUUGGAAAGUUGGAGGUGAAAGCCCGGAGCUCAACUCCGGAAUUGCCUUCGAAACUCCCAGGCUAGAGUUCGGAAGAGGAGAGUGGAAUUCCCGAGUGUAGAGGUGGAAUUCGUAGAUAUUGGGAAGAACACCAGUGGCGAAGGCGGCUCUCUGGUCCGAAACUGACGCUGAGGUGCAAAAGCGUGGGGAGCAAACA